RNAcentral lists this ribosomal RNA (483 nucleotides) under Pseudomonas putida. RNAcentral describes it as "bacterial SSU rRNA". It matches the Rfam family "Bacterial small subunit ribosomal RNA", at positions 45 to 523 of the family's 1533-position model. The record is from RNAcentral. Lineage: Bacteria; Pseudomonadati; Pseudomonadota; Gammaproteobacteria; Pseudomonadales; Pseudomonadaceae.
GGCCUAACACCUGCAAGUCGAGCGGAUGACGGGAGCUUGCUCCUUGAUUCAGCGGCGGACGGGUGAGUAAUGCCUAGGAAUCUGCCUGGUAGUGGGGGACAACGUUUCGAAAGGAACGCUAAUACCGCAUACGUCCUACGGGAGAAAGCAGGGGACCUUCGGGCCUUGCGCUAUCAGAUGAGCCUAGGUCGGAUUAGCUUGUUGGUGAGGUAAUGGCUCACCAAGGCGACGAUCCGUAACUGGUCUGAGAGGAUGAUCAGUCACACUGGAACUGAGACACGGUCCAGACUCCUACGGGAGGCAGCAGUGGGGAAUAUUGGACAAUGGGCGAAAGCCUGAUCCAGCCAUGCCGCGUGUGUGAAGAAGGUCUUCGGAUUGUAAAGCACUUUAAGUUGGGAGGAAGGGCAGUAAGGUAAUACCUUGCUGUUUUGACGUUACCGACAGAAUAAGCACCGGCUAACUCUGUGCCAGCAGCCGCGGUAA